GACGAACGCUGGCGGCGUGCCUAAUACAUGCAAGUAGAACGCACAGUUUAUACCGUAGCUUGCUACACCAUAGACUGUGAGUUGCGAACGGGUGAGUAACGCGUAGGUAACCUGCCUGGUAGCGGGGGAUAACUAUUGGAAACGAUAGCUAAUACCGCAUAAUAUUGAUUAUUGCAUGAUAAUUGAUUGAAAGAUGCUAUUGCAUCACUACCAGAUGGACCUGCGUUGUAUUAGCUAGUAGGUGAGGUAACGGCUCACCUAGGCGACGAUACAUAGCCGACCUGAGAGGGUGAUCGGCCACACUGGGACUGAGACACGGCCCAGACUCCUACGGGAGGCAGCAGUAGGGAAUCUUCGGCAAUGGACGAAAGUCCGACCGAGCAACGCCGCGGGAGGGAAGAAGGUUUUCGGAUCGGAAAGCUCUGUUGUAAGAGAAGAACGGGUGUGAGAGUGGAAAGUUCACACUGUGACGGUAUCUUACCAGAAAGGGACGGCUAACUACGUG
RNAcentral lists this ribosomal RNA (505 nucleotides) under uncultured bacterium. Its description in RNAcentral is "partial 16S ribosomal RNA". It matches the Rfam family "Bacterial small subunit ribosomal RNA", at positions 28 to 507 of the family's 1533-position model. The record is from RNAcentral.